This 515-nucleotide long non-coding RNA is filed under the name Suricata suricatta (meerkat). RNAcentral's name for it is "lncRNA (ENSSSUG00005022622.1)". The record is from RNAcentral. Lineage: Eukaryota; Metazoa; Chordata; Mammalia; Carnivora; Herpestidae.
AGUUUGCACACUGAAAUGUAUACCUGUGACACAAACUUGUGUGACUGAGUGAAGGAGGAACUUCGUGGCUUUUUUCACUACUGUCAGAAAUCAGUGAAAACAUGAAAAGGUAGUAAUUCUAGGAGCACCAGCCUACGUCCUUUGACAAAGUGAGAUGCUUGAGUUCUGGAAUGCUCUGCCCCUACGUCCUUUGACAAAGUGAGAUGCUUGAGUUCUGGAAUGCUCUGCCCCUAGAUGGAGUGGCAGGGUCUUCUGUUCCCGGAGAGGUGGGUCCCCUGAGUGCCAGGGGCUGCGCAUCCGGUGGCCGUGAGCAAUCCUGGCGGCCAAGGACUCCACGCUGUACUCUUGGGAAUGAGACGAAGGUCCGCGUGUGUCCUCGACCUGGAGAAGGAAGGAGGGGCCCCCGGCAUGCAGGUGAUUUCGCAGGUUUGGACAGAGCUGCUCGGGGCCCCCAGAAAGAAGGGAGGGAAGGACUUUUCGUUUCUCUGAUGUCGACUUUGUCAAAACACUUCAGC